Molecule: ribosomal RNA, 1067 nt
Filed under: Halomonas organivorans
Lineage: Bacteria; Pseudomonadati; Pseudomonadota; Gammaproteobacteria; Oceanospirillales; Halomonadaceae
Description: bacterial SSU rRNA
Rfam family: Bacterial small subunit ribosomal RNA
Source: RNAcentral
AGCUUGCUUCCAGGCGUCGAGCGGCGGACGGGUGAGUAAUGCAUAGGAAUCUGCCCGGUAGUGGGGGAUAACCUGGGGAAACCCAGGCUAAUACCGCAUACGUCCUACGGGAGAAAGCAGGGGAUCUUCGGACCUUGCGCUAUCGGAUGAGCCUAUGUCGGAUUAGCUUGUUGGUGAGGUAACGGCUCACCAAGGCCGCGAUCCGUAGCUGGUCUGAGAGGAUGAUCAGCCACAUCGGGACUGAGACACGGCCCGAACUCCUACGGGAGGCAGCAGUGGGGAAUAUUGGACAAUGGGCGAAAGCCUGAUCCAGCCAUGCCGCGUGUGUGAAGAAGGCCCUCGGGUUGUAAAGCACUUUCAGUGAGGAAGAACGCUUGUGGGUUAAUACCCUGCAAGGAAGACAUCACUCACAGAAGAAGCACCGGCUAACUCCGUGCCAGCAGCCGCGGUAAUACGGAGGGUGCGAGCGUUAAUCGGAAUUACUGGGCGUAAAGCGCGCGUAGGCGGCUUGAUAAGCCGGUUGUGAAAGCCCCGGGCUCAACCUGGGAACGGCAUCCGGAACUGUCAGGCUAGAGUGCAGGAGAGGAAGGUAGAAUUCCCGGUGUAGCGGUGAAAUGCGUAGAGAUCGGGAGGAAUACCAGUGGCGAAGGCGGCCUUCUGGACUGACACUGACGCUGAGGUGCGAAAGCGUGGGUAGCAAACAGGAUUAGAUACCCUGGUAGUCCACGCCGUAAACGAUGUCGACUAGCCGUUGGGGUCCUCGAGACCUUUGUGGCGCAGUUAACGCGAUAAGUCGACCGCCUGGGGAGUACGGCCGCAAGGUUAAAACUCAAAUGAAUUGACGGGGGCCCGCACAAGCGGUGGAGCAUGUGGUUUAAUUCGAUGCAACGCGAAGAACCUUACCUACUCUUGACAUCGAGCGAACUUUCCAGAGAUGGAUUGGUGCCUUCGGGAACGCUCAGAGUGGUGCUGCAUGGCCGUCGUCAGCUCGUGUUGUGAAAUGUUGGGUUAAGUCCCGUAACGAGCGCAACCCUUGUCCCUAUUUGCCAGCGAUUCGGUCGGGAACU